GGGCUGGUGGCGGAAUUGGUAGACGCGCUAGACUCAAAAUCUGGUGAGAAUUAUCUCGUGCGGGUUCAAGUCCCGCCCGGCCCACCA
RNAcentral lists this transfer RNA (87 nucleotides) under Candidatus Saccharimonadota bacterium. Its description in RNAcentral is "Candidatus Saccharibacteria bacterium tRNA-Leu". It matches the Rfam family "tRNA". Rfam says of the family: Transfer RNA (tRNA) molecules are approximately 80 nucleotides in length. Their secondary structure includes four short double-helical elements and three loops (D, anti-codon, and T loops). The record is from RNAcentral. Lineage: Bacteria; Candidatus Saccharimonadota.